This 293-nucleotide ribosomal RNA is filed under the name Bacillus atrophaeus. RNAcentral's name for it is "partial 23S ribosomal RNA". It matches the Rfam family "Bacterial large subunit ribosomal RNA", at positions 2634 to 2925 of the family's 2925-position model. The record is from RNAcentral. Lineage: Bacteria; Bacillati; Bacillota; Bacilli; Caryophanales; Bacillaceae.
GUCCCUAUCCGUCGCGGGCGCAGGAAAUUUGAGAGGAGCUGUCCUUAGUACGAGAGGACCGGGAUGGACGCACCGCUGGUGUACCAGUUGUUCUGCCAAGGGCAUCGCUGGGUAGCUAUGUGCGGACGGGAUAAGUGCUGAAAGCAUCUAAGCAUGAAGCCCCCCUCAAGAUGAGAUUUCCCAUUCCGCAAGGAAGUAAGAUCCCUGAAAGAUGAUCAGGUUGAUAGGUCUGAGGUGGAAGUGUGGCGACACAUGGAGCUGACAGAUACUAAUCGAUCGAGGACUUAACCACA